AUCUCCAAGUGUCCCUGCCUUUUGCAAUGGGGCUACCGACUCCUCCAGCCCCUGGCCAGGGGCGGGGAUGUGCGUCUGUUCUAGCUCCCCCCUUCCAGCCAGGUCUCCGAAACAGGGCUUCUCCCAGGCUAAUGAAAAGACGCUCAAAGCUGCUGGAGCCAGCCCCAUCGGGGCCCACGAGGAAGAUAUCCAUGAAACUAGCAGGGGAGGAAGGAGGCCCCGGCUGCUUACCUGAUUUCUCGCAGCCCACCCCUGGCUCCAACCUCCCUCGUUAGCAACCUCCAAUGAGCAUGCUUCCCGGGCUGCACGAAGUACGUCUACCGGGCAGGAGGAGACCCCGCUGCUCCAAAGCCAUCUCCUCCGCGCCCCUCACCCACCUCCUUCCCCAUCCCCCAACCACAUCGGCCUUGGAGGCGUGCCCCCGGCUUCCUGGCACCCGCCUAAAUGUCAGCAGCCGGCACGCUGAAAUACCAGACCAGCGCACCAGAGAGUGAGAUUUUGGAACAGGGUAUCCUGGGGCCCACCUUAGGGCAGGGAGAGGGCGAAGGAAAGAGUCUUCUCGCUAGAGCGGCCAGCUUCCUUUUUUGCACCCCUAAAACCUACCUUGCCCACUGAGCAUGCCCAGCUCCACUUGUUGGAGCUACAACUGGGUAAGGAAGCAGAUGAGAAGUCAGCCACAGGUUGGGUUCAGCUCGGAUUCUUGGGCUGUUCUAUUUAUAGACCACCUUUCUUCCCCAAACCUCCAGGUGCUAGCCACAUGACCCCAACAGUAAACAAUAGUGGCCACACUGGGAGAAGGAAUAGGAGGAUAAUGGAAAAGGACGUGAUGCAGAAGAGUAGCUAGCAAGUCCUAGCCAGAUGAUACAAAAGAUUGCCAUUCAAAUUCUCAUAGCUUUAAAACCUAUGGGGAGGGGGGGGAGGGGAACGAGCGGGGGGGGGGGGGGGGGGGGCCCCCAUUUCCUAGCUAAAAAUUUUUUUUUUAAGGAAUCUUAUUAGAUAAAAGCUGGCCUUGGGAGACUGCAAUUCAACUACAAGCAUUUACCUUAGGCAAAUCUCUUAACCUCUCAGUAUCUCCAGGCAACUGAUAGUGGCUAUUCCCACAUUGGAAUUUUCUAUUCUAAUGAAAUCACAAUUCCGGAGGCUUCUUUUUAACUAUCCAUUCCUCCCCCUCCCCCCAUUGCUUUUUGAAAGUUCAUUCUCCUUAAAAAAAAAAGUUUGGACAUCUCUAUGGAAAUAUUGAAAUCUGAGUUGUCCCUUAUGAAAAUUUGUUUGUCUUAUUCCCAAAGCAAUUCAAAUUUCCUUUGGAGAAGUUAAUCCUCCAUCCUGGUCUGAGGAGGUGCCUCUGUUCCCAUCAUUUCUACCAUUGUUCCUGCCUUAUCUUAUGAAAGUGCCAAGAAAUUAACACAGAUUGGUAUUUCUGAGUAAUGUAAACCUCAAAAUUUCUUAGACUUAUAAAUGUUGGAAAUUUCACCAUUGGGAAAUUUCAUACUUGAAAAAUUUCCUAUUGAUAGUGGGUCUUGACUAUUGGAAUGUGAUCCCCAUUGGCAUGGGAGGUUCCUUCUCCUCCCUUCUUAAGAUUACUUUAGGACAGAAACCUUUUGCUGAACAAUGGAAAGGACUUUGACCUAUGCUUAAGCAUAGAACAGGAAUUUCUUUGAGUCAUGAUUGAUUUUAGAAUUGAUACAAUGGAGAUACUUGGAAUUAAUCUCCACCCUAUUCAGUCCUAACAGGAUUGAGUAAGGGCUGCAGCCUAGAUCAAAAUUUAAUAAUUUCAAUCUCUACCCUACUCAGGGUAACAGGAUUUAGGAAGGGCUGUAGCAAAGGAUCAAAGAUUUAAUUAUUUGAAAAUAUGACCUUCAACAGACAUGUGCAAAGCCAGAGACCUCUGGGCGGUCCUGGGUUAAGCUAGAGCCUCCAUUGGUACAGGGAAAUUGAUGGACAGGUGAUUGGUAGAUGUGAGAACUGAGGGGAGGGAACUUGGAUGGUUUCCUUAAGGAUAGGGGGGUCUGAAGACUCCCCUGGUUGGGAGGAGUUUGUCGGAGUGGUUGGGGUGUGCUCUGAGAAGCUUGCUCUGAAGGAAGCUGAAGGUGGGAGCCCCCGAGACUGUUUCUCCAUUUUGGUCACGUGAGUAAUAGGGACUGAUCUCCUUUCAUUGCCCCAGCUAUCUAAGGGCUUGGGCCUUUUGGCCCAGCCUAAACAGAAGGGAUAUUUAAGCCCUAUUCCCUUCUCUCCCCUUUCUCUCUCCCUCUAUCUCUCUAUCUCUAAUUCCUUUCUUCCUCCUGUUUGUAAUUAAAACUCCAUAAAAGGUUGACGGCUGACUUGAGUUUUCAUUAAGGAAUUACAUAGCUGAAUUCCUUGGCGACCUUAAAUUAAUAUAUAUCAGUCUUUUAAAAGUGAUUUCCUUGUCACAGUAAUAAACCCAUCUCCUCCCUCCA
This 2435-nucleotide long non-coding RNA is filed under the name Monodelphis domestica (gray short-tailed opossum). RNAcentral describes it as "lncRNA (ENSMODG00000045101.1)". Lineage: Eukaryota; Metazoa; Chordata; Mammalia; Didelphimorphia; Didelphidae. The record is from RNAcentral.